AGGUGGUUAUUGCGGCGGGGGCCCACCUCUUCCCAUUCCGAACAGAGAAGUUAAGCCCGCUUGCGCCGAUGGUACUGCAAUGCAAUGCGGGAGAGUAGGAGGCCGCC
This 107-nucleotide ribosomal RNA is filed under the name uncultured Prevotella sp. The record is from RNAcentral. Lineage: Bacteria; Pseudomonadati; Bacteroidota; Bacteroidia; Bacteroidales; Prevotellaceae.